AACACAAACCUGCUUUUGUGGAAGUCUCUCUGGAGAUCAGACUGCUGUGACUAGGAGGUGAAAACUGAGGGGUUUGCUUGUUAAUAUUUCCCUUUGCACACUCCCUUCUGGGUUUUGACAAUUAACUGGCCUGCUUGGGGCUAAAUGCAGCCAGCUCCACAAUAAUUGCUAGAAACCUAUCUUGGAGUCCAAAUAACUCCUAGGGAAUUUCACUUUUCAGUCAAUGAAGAGACUCCGGGACAAACAUUUAAUCUCUGUCUGCCACAUUCUUCCUCGUGACCUUCACGAAAUGACUCGAGGAUCCACAGAGAAACAGGAAGAUGAGCGUUAUCAGCAGCAGUGGGUGCUCAGGAAGCCGUGGCCCUCUCUGCCUGUAAGCAUCAUCGGUAGCUUGUUUCUCCUUGGUCCUGCAGUACAGUCACCCACGGACCCUUUCAUUGUGCCUGGCUCUCCUCCUGCUCAGUGUCUGCCAACAUAUCCUACUUCGCUGCCACGGCAAGAAAAAGUCAUCAAAUUAGGAGGAAGCGCCGGACUGAACUGGCAGCCCGGAGUCGCGGCUGUGUUCUCAGACCAACUGCCGCCCUUCCGUGUGACUUUCGGCAAGCCUCUUCUCACUCGUGUUCUCACUUCAGGUUGUGCACGGCGUGCUUGUGCUGGAGUGGAAGCUUCCGGGCGUGCCCUCAAGUUUACUGAGGGACUGUCAGUCACCCUAUUAGUUGAUUUCAGUAAUUCUGAUGACAAAUAUAGAUGUAUAUAACAUAAAACAUAUAUGUAUAUGAAUGUGUUUUUAUAAAGAUAUAUAUAAUAGAUUUAUGUGGCUAUAAGAUUUAUUCUCAUAAGCCUUAUAAGGCAAUGAACAAUUACUUAUAGGCGGCACUUUGUUGUACACACAAUAUUAUUGUAUUGUACACACAAUAAAAAUCGUG
RNAcentral lists this long non-coding RNA (926 nucleotides) under Callithrix jacchus (white-tufted-ear marmoset). RNAcentral's name for it is "lncRNA (ENSCJAG00000078808.1)". The record is from RNAcentral. Lineage: Eukaryota; Metazoa; Chordata; Mammalia; Primates; Cebidae.